UACAGAGGUCUCAAGCGUUGUUCGGAUUCAUUGGGCGUAAAGGGCGCGUAGGCGGCAAUUCAAGUCAGCUGUGAAAUCUCCGGGCUUAACUCGGAACGGUCAGCUGAUACUGCUUUGCUAGAGUGCAGAAGGGGCAAUCGGAAUUCUCGGUGUAGCGGUGAAAUGCGUAGAUAUCGAGAGGAACACCUGAGGCGAAGGCGGGUUGCUGGGCUGACACUGACGCUGAUGCGCGAAAGCCAGGGUAGCAAACGGG
This 253-nucleotide ribosomal RNA is filed under the name uncultured prokaryote. Its description in RNAcentral is "partial 16S ribosomal RNA". It matches the Rfam family "Bacterial small subunit ribosomal RNA", at positions 524 to 776 of the family's 1533-position model. The record is from RNAcentral.